Long non-coding RNA from Rhipicephalus sanguineus (brown dog tick), 552 nucleotides. RefSeq lists it as uncharacterized. NCBI's taxonomy places the organism in Eukaryota, Metazoa, Arthropoda, Arachnida, Ixodida, Ixodidae. The record is from RefSeq and is a predicted model, not a curated record. The transcript is spliced from 3 exons.
CGGACAGCCGGACGCGGGUAGCUUGGCCGUUCCUUGCUCUGCGCAUCGCUUGAAAACCGGCGGUCAUCCUGCAGUGUACGCUGCCAGCGUGCUUUCUUGCCAGAGCCGCCUCCCCUGCUGGUGAUGACCAUAUGCAGCCAAUGCUGAUGUGAACCCGAGUGAUGAACAAAUGCAGCAUGCCUGGAAAAGUACUUCAAAGCACACCCCAUCUGGCUGACUGCACUACCUCAAGAAAACUGCCUUUCUCCCAUCUGCAAGUUCCUAAGAAGUUACUUUAUGAAGCAAGCCAGCAGGGCGUACGUGUGAGGCAUGGCAGCACGGAGAACAAAUAAACAUGAGUAUUUGGUGCAAGAUGCAUUCAUUGAUUUCGUGCUGCAUCAACGUGUGGCUGCAUGCUUGGCCACGUGUAGACACAGCAUGUAAACUCGUUAACCUCAAUGGUAAAAGGUGGUCUAUAAUCACGUUAAGAAGCACGAUGUCUUAUUUUUGUAAAUAAUUGCAUAGCUCGACUUUGACUCAGGCGUCCAACACCCAUCAUUAUCUACCCAUUAU